GCCGCUAUGGUGGAAUAGGCAGACACAGCAGACUUAAAAUCUGCCAGAGGCGACUCUGUACCGGUUCAAGUCCGGUUAGCGGCA
Molecule: transfer RNA, 84 nt
Organism: Firmicutes bacterium CAG:137
Lineage: Bacteria; Bacillati; Bacillota
Rfam family: tRNA
About the family: Transfer RNA (tRNA) molecules are approximately 80 nucleotides in length. Their secondary structure includes four short double-helical elements and three loops (D, anti-codon, and T loops). Further hydrogen bonds mediate the characteristic L-shaped molecular structure. tRNAs have two regions of fundamental functional importance: the anti-codon, which is responsible for specific mRNA codon recognition, and the 3' end, to which the tRNAs corresponding amino acid is attached (by aminoacyl-tRNA synthetases). tRNAs cope with the degeneracy of the genetic code in two manners: having more than one tRNA (with a specific anti-codon) for a particular amino acid; and 'wobble' base-pairing, i.e. permitting non-standard base-pairing at the 3rd anti-codon position.
Source: Rfam